CACCACCACCCGGCUGAACCUAAACUAAGUUUAUUAGAAAGGGCUAAGUAGAACUGACUGUGGUGGCGAAACUGAGACACAGGCCGUGCUUCCAUCACAGCAGAUAAGUUACCGUGGUGACAAUGAGACCUGUAACAUUU
Molecule: small nucleolar RNA, 140 nt
Organism: Mesocricetus auratus (golden hamster)
Lineage: Eukaryota; Metazoa; Chordata; Mammalia; Rodentia; Cricetidae
Source: Ensembl